This 239-nucleotide long non-coding RNA is filed under the name Elaeis guineensis (African oil palm). RNAcentral's name for it is "long non-coding RNA (EGUI_LNC020788)". Lineage: Eukaryota; Viridiplantae; Streptophyta; Magnoliopsida; Arecales; Arecaceae. The record is from RNAcentral.
UCUGCAUCCUUAGGGUUGUAGAAGGACUCAUUCAAUAUUUGAAUGAUCUCUUCUGGUUGCGCAUCUUCGAACUUACGACUAAGUUCAUCAUUCAUGGCUGCCCUCAUCACACAGCGCAUAGUCGUGCAGUCAUUGAGCCACUUCAUAUAAGUAUCUCUCACAGCACGAGGAGCAUUGACUAUAGAUUCUUCAGGUGCCUGGUCUGUAAGGACGUACAAAAAUUUUUCAUGCUCCAAGAC